AAGGUGGGGCUGAUGACUGGGGUGAAGUCGUAACAAGGUAUCCGUACCGGAAGGUGCGGAUGGAUCACCUCCUAACAGGGAGACAACACAAUGAUUUUGAUGCCUGAGUACUUUUAUUCUUAGGCCGAAAUCCUGUCACCUUAGGUCGAUCGGUACCUCAGCUUUGAAGUUAAGGAUCAGCAGCAAUGUUGAUUGCUUGAUGGAAAUUUUCAGUUCCUAAACUUUGUCUAGGUCACACCCCAAAAGGGAUGAGACUCCUGGGCCAUUAGCUCAGGUGGUUAGAGCGCACCCCUGAUAAGGGUGAGGUCCCUGGUUCAAGUCCAGGAUGGCCCAUUCGGUGUUGGGGGUUUAGCUCAGUUGGUAGAGCGCCUGCUUUGCAAGCAGGAUGUCAGGAGUUCGAGUCUCCUAACCUCCACUGACCGAACUUGAUUCCCAUCUCCAAUUUUUUGGAGUUGAGCUCGAUUGGAGUGUGAUUUAGAUGUGUCCGCUGGAUGACCCCAGCUUCCUGUCAUUCCAAGUUUUAGGUUAAAGCCUUGAAUUUGGUUGAUAAGAUGCUGGGCUCGAAUCAAAUGAUCAAGCAAUUGAUGAUUUGAUUUGAAGUUCUAGCAGAACCUUGACAACUGCAUAGGUGAGUCUGGAAAAAACAAAGCAUCUUACAGAUGCAUUGUUUUGAAUCUGAUCUUCUGAAAGGGAGAUUGGAUCUAGAACAAUGAAAAUUCUUUUGAGCAAGAGCCGAGACUCUUGAAUGUUCUUUGAUUGGUGUCGAGCCAAUCAGAGUUUGAUCUUGUUUUUAGCAAUAAAAACUUGAGAAUCUGCUUUCAACGGCGGUAAGCGUUCAGGAGGUUAAUUGGUCAAGCUACAAAGGGCUC
RNAcentral lists this unclassified non-coding RNA (869 nucleotides) under uncultured Synechococcus sp. RNAcentral describes it as "partial may contain 16S ribosomal RNA, 16S-23S ribosomal RNA intergenic spacer, and 23S ribosomal RNA". The stretch from base 343 to 415 matches the Rfam family "tRNA". Lineage: Bacteria; Bacillati; Cyanobacteriota; Cyanophyceae; Synechococcales; Synechococcaceae. The record is from RNAcentral.